Molecule: ribosomal RNA, 327 nt
Filed under: uncultured eukaryote
Lineage: Eukaryota
Description: partial 18S ribosomal RNA
Rfam family: Eukaryotic small subunit ribosomal RNA
Source: RNAcentral
CCCUUAGAUGUCCUGGGCCGCACGCGCGUUACACUGAUGCAUUCAACGAGCUUAUAACCUUGGCCGAGAGGCCUGGGCAAUCUUGUUAACGUGCAUCGUGAUAGGGAUAGAUUAUUGAAAUUAUUAAUCUUGAACGAGGAAUUCCUAGUAAAUGCAGAUCAUCAUUCUGCGUUGAUUACGUCCCUGCCCUUUGUACACACCGCCCGUCGCACCUACCGAUUGAAUGAUCCGGUGAAGCCUCGGGAUUGUGCCCAGAGAACUUUAUUGUGAUUUGGGUGUGAGAACUUGUCUAAACCUUAUCAUUUAGAGGAAGGUGAAGUCGUAACA